GACGAACGCUGGCGGCGUGCUUAACACAUGCAAGUCGAACGGAAAGGCCCUGCUUUUGUGGGGUGCUCGAGUGGCGAACGGGUGAGUAACACGUGAGUAACCUGCCCUUGACUUUGGGAUAACUUCAGGAAACUGGGGCUAAUACCGGAUAGGAGCUCCUGCUGCAUGGUGGGGGUUGGAAAGUUUCGGCGGUUGGGGAUGGACUCGCGGCUUAUCAGCUUGUUGGUGGGGUAGUGGCUUACCAAGGCUUUGACGGGUAGCCGGCCUGAGAGGGUGACCAGCCACAUUGGGACUGAGAUACGGCACAGACGCCUACUGGAGGCAGCAGUGGUGAAUAUUGCACAAUGGGCGGAAGCCUGAUGCAGAAACGCCGCGUGCGGGAAGACGGCCUUCGUGUUGUAAACCGUUUUCGCCUGGGACGAAGCGUUAGUGACGGUAAUGGGUCAAGAAGCACCGGCUAACUACGUG
RNAcentral lists this ribosomal RNA (468 nucleotides) under uncultured bacterium. RNAcentral's name for it is "partial 16S ribosomal RNA". It matches the Rfam family "Bacterial small subunit ribosomal RNA", at positions 28 to 507 of the family's 1533-position model. The record is from RNAcentral.